AUGAACGUUGGCGGUGUGCCUAAUACAUGCAAGUCGAACGAAGAUGAUAGCAAUAUUGUCUUAGUGGCGAACGGGUGAGUAACGCGUUGGUGACCUGCCCCGAAGUGGGGGAUAACAGUUCGAAAGGACUGCUAAUACCUCAUGAUAUCAAUUGGGUUAGAUACCUUUUGAUCAAAGGCGUAAGCCGCUUUGGGAGGGGCCUGCGUCCCAUCAGCUUGUUGGUAGGGUAAUGGCCUACCAAGGCUAAGACGGGUAGGGGACCUAAGAGGGUGACCCCCCACACUGGCACUGAAACACGGGCCAGACACCUACGGGUGGCAGCAGUAGGGAAUUUUGGACAAUGGGCGAAAGCCUGAUCCAGCAACGCCGCGUGCGCGAUGACGGCCUUCGGGUUGUAAAGCGCUUUUAGAGGAGAUGAGAAAGGACAGUAUCCUCUGAAUAAGCCUCGGCGAACUACGU
This 459-nucleotide ribosomal RNA is filed under the name uncultured bacterium. RNAcentral describes it as "bacterial SSU rRNA". It matches the Rfam family "Bacterial small subunit ribosomal RNA", at positions 29 to 506 of the family's 1533-position model. The record is from RNAcentral.